UAUUCUUCAAAAGAAAGUUGACAAAAGCUAUUAUUGCCCUGUUGUCCCUUAAUGUUUCGUCUGUGAUCGAAGCUGCGAUUAUAACGUCAUUCAGAUGACAAACCCUCUCAUAUUAUAAAAAUAUCUGAACCUCGAUUCAAAUACUGGAUGCUACAUAUUCAUAAAAUACGUCCAUAUUAUUAAAACGUAUAAUUCGCUCUUAAAAAUCCCUAACUUAUUCUCAAACAUAAAAGCUUAAAUCAUUUUGUCAGACUCCAGUACAACUCUCAGGGGUACAAUUCAGAUCAUAACUGAAGGUGUUAAUAUCCUUUUAACUAUAAAUCAUCUUUUAAAGUUUUUUAAAUUUUUUGAACAAAUAUAUUUUUUUGACAUGAAUUAUUUUGUGUAAAGCAAAACCAGUGAGAAAGAAUUUCAACUGUUUUGAUCUUCAUUGUGUAAAUAUACCACAGUUUAUAUUUCAUGACCCUCAACAUAUAAUAAUAAUUAUUUCACAAGACUUUCUUUAAACUGUGGCUAUGACACCAAAACCUCCUUUUAUUAACAGUUCAAUUCGUAUGCAGUAUCUAUUACAUAUCUUAUACAUUAUCAACAAAAAUUUCCAAGUAAAGCUGUGUCAGAUGACUAAUAAUCCAUGAAAUAUAAUUCACGCCGCCAAUGCUAUUCAGUAUUCUCCCUAUUUUUAUGUGAUGCACACAACACUCUCAGUAUAUAAUGUCAUUGUCUGAAGAAGCUAGGAUCGAGAUGUUAGGUAGAAAGCUACUUGACAAACAAAUGACGAUUAUUGCAAUCUACAACAUGUUGCCUGUGCCUGCCUCAAAGACAACAGACAGCUGACUGAUACUAACGCACUGGAGAAAUAGACGAGCUUAAAACUUAAUGUUCUACUGCUUCAAGUGAGCAAGCAAAGGAAGGUUAGAAGAUGUGAAGCGGAAUGCAUUAAAACGUCUCAAAGAAUAAAUGAUCACAAUUGUACUGUGUGUCCCACGUCAUUUGUCCUAGCUGUUUUGUGAAUAAUUUUGGAUGCAUAAAACAGUGCAGAAAUUGUGGACUGGCUUUGACUUCGGGAACAGGCAUGACGAUUAAAAUCCUCAAUAGCAUCUUCCGUCAUUAGAAUAAUGUCGUAAGUGACAUCGGGUUCCUUAAACUCAGAGCUACAGUGUGUCUAUACGGGCAACAGAAAGAAGAAAGACAGAAAAGGAAUAGAUAUUGCUCAACACUCCCUCCACUGUUGGCAAGGCUCCUAGGUUCUUGAAUCUCCAGAUUCAGAGGAUCUUGCUGAUUGAGGCUGAUGGAGGUCUGAACCCUACACCAAGAUUCUUCAUUCGAUCUCCAGGAUGGUGAAGCCAACUUACAGCGCUCUCAAAUAUGUCCAUCUCUGAACUCACAUUGAGCCUAUCAUUGGACAAAAUCAUGCAGACUGUGUCCACAUCCAAGCCGUAGAAAGAGUUUCAGCAUGUCUUGGUGACCAAGAGAGGAGAUUUUCUGCAAACACAACUGUGUGAUUUGCUGCACUUCAAACAUCCGAGAGAGAUCAAGCACCUCAUGCAGACAAUCAGACUUAAUGAAAUUGAUAUUACCCGA
Long non-coding RNA from Magallana angulata, 1581 nucleotides. RefSeq lists it as uncharacterized. The record is from RefSeq and is a predicted model, not a curated record. The transcript is spliced from 6 exons. NCBI's taxonomy places the organism in Eukaryota, Metazoa, Mollusca, Bivalvia, Ostreida, Ostreidae.